This 245-nucleotide ribosomal RNA is filed under the name uncultured bacterium. RNAcentral describes it as "partial small subunit ribosomal RNA". It matches the Rfam family "Bacterial small subunit ribosomal RNA", at positions 26 to 285 of the family's 1533-position model. The record is from RNAcentral.
AGAAUCAACGCUGGCGGCGUGCCUAACACAUGCAAGUCGCACGAGAAAGGGUAGCAAUACCUGAGUAAAGUGGCGCACGGGUGAGUAACACGUGAAUAAUCUACCUCCGAGUGGGGAAUAGCUGAGAGAAAUCUUAGCUAAUACCGCAUAACACUUACGAGUCAAAGCAGCAAUGCGCUUGGAGAGGAGUUCGCGGCCGAUUAGUUAGUUGGCGGGGUAAUGGCCCACCAAGGCGAUGAUCGGUA